CUUGGGAGGGAGGGUCCCUCAGCCCAGAUUGCAAGAGGGCGCAGGCCAGGCCAAGGGACCCCACCAGUACACG
Non-coding RNA from Myotis davidii, 73 nucleotides. Lineage: Eukaryota; Metazoa; Chordata; Mammalia; Chiroptera; Vespertilionidae. The record is from Rfam.